GUGCCAGCCGCCGCGGUAAUACGUAUGUGUGUGCAAGCGUUAAUCGGAAUUACUGGGCGUAAAGCGUGCGCAGGCGGUUGUGCAAGACCGAUGUGAAAUCCCCGGGCUUAACCUGGGAAUGGCAUUGGUGACUGCACGGCUAGAGUGUGUCAGAGGGGGGUAGAAUUCCACGUGUAGCAGUGAAAUGCGUAGAGAUGUGGAGGAAUACCGAUGGCGAAGGCAGCCCCCUGGGAUAACACUGACGCUCAUGCACGAAAGCGUGGGGAGCAAACAGGAUUAGAUACCCUGGUAGUCCACGCCCUAAACGAUGUCAACUAGUUGUCGGGUCUUCAUUGACUUGGUAACGCAGCUAACGCGUGAAGUUGACCGCCUGGGGAGUACGGUCGCAAGAUUAAAACUCAAAGGAAUUGACGGGGACCCGCACAAGCGGUGGGAUGAUGUGGAUUAAUUCGAUGCAACGCGAAAAACCUUACCUACCCUUGACAUGUACGGAGGCCCGGAGAGAUUCGGGCGUGCUCGAAAGAGAGCCGUAACCAAGGGUGCUGCAUGGCUGUCGUCAGCUCGUGUCGUGAGAAGGUUGGGUUAAAGUCCGGCAACAGAGCGCGACCCCUUUUCAUUAGUUGGCUACUUUCUGUUUGAGCACUCCUAAUGAGAGUGGCGGGGAAGAAACAGGAGAAGGGGGGGGGAGGCCAUCAGGCCUCCAAGGCCCCCAAUGGGUAAGGAGCUUUCCACCGGCAAAGAGUGGGGACAGAAGGAGGACCGCCAACGCCCCAGGGAAGGAAGUAUACACCGAGAUACGGAAUCCUAGACUCACAUGCGAGCCCGGCAAAUCAACAUGCCCUGAUGUGUGGGA
Molecule: ribosomal RNA, 853 nt
Filed under: uncultured bacterium
Lineage: Bacteria
Description: bacterial SSU rRNA
Rfam family: Bacterial small subunit ribosomal RNA
Source: RNAcentral